UCGACAGAAGGCUGCCUCCAGCCCCUGCACUCCCUUCCUCGGGCAACGUUGAGGAAGUCAUUCCCCCCGCCCUGUGAGGCAUUUACUGGACGCCUCCCUCACAAGUACUCCCACUGCCUACCCGGACGAGAGUGAGGUGCGUGUCCGCCCAUUCCGAGAGGCGAGAGAUGUAAUUCGUCGGCCCUCCUCCGCGCUGCUCCGCCAUAGCCCUUCAGUCGCUGGGGCCUGCCCUUUCCUUUCUUCGCACUUUCGUCUGCACCAGGUCGCAGUGCCGCUUACUGGAAGCUUGGCGGAGCUACGCUAUCACAAGGGACAAAAACCUCAGUCGACGCAGAAAAUGGAAAUGGACUGCCUUCAAGUCGAUCCCGACUUAUGGCGACCCUAUGAAUUGCGUUUUCAUUCAGAGGUGGUUUUACCAUUGCCUUCCUCUGAGGCUGAGAGGCAGUGACUGGCCCAAGGUCACCCAGUGAGCUUCAUGACUGUGUGGGGAUUUGAACCGGUCGUAGUCCAACACUCUAACCACUACACUACACAGAAAAGGGGCCAGCAUUUCUUUCCCUUUCCCCUUCUCCUUUAUGCUUUGCCAUAACACAGCUUGGAACAGAAUCCUAACCAUGUCUACACAGAAGUAAAUUCUACUGAACUCAAUGGGGCAAACUCUCAGGACCGUUCCCACAAGAGCCAGCUCAAACCCCGAGAUCAACUUCAGAGGCCCUUCUUUCUGUGCCACCACAUUCAUCCAAGUGUCUCAAAGUAGAGCCUUCCAACAUCCUACAUUCUGUUCCAACAUGAUCAAGAAACAGAAUUCACAGGCAAGAGUGUACAAAAGCUGGCUUGGUUCUCAGUGACUCCCACCUCGGUAAAGGGAAAAAAACUGCUUCUAACUCCAGAUAACAAGGGGAGAAGCCAGUGUUAAACGCAGAUGAUACAGCGGCAGCAUUUUCAAUUAAGAUAAUCUGGACAAAAUGAGUAUGCAGAAUUGCUAUCUGGCAUGGAGCAGCAGAUGCCAAAAGAACUGUAAAAGAACUUUAUAUUCUCAGUAGAUGUGCUAACAUUUGUUGUUAUAUGCCUUCAAGUCGAUUACGACAUGGUGACCCUAUGAAUCGACAACCUCCAAUAGCACCUGUUAUAAACCACCCUGUUCAGAUCUUGUAAAUUCAGGUCUGUGGCUUCCCUUAUGGAAUCAAUCCAUCUCUUGUUUGGUGUUCCUCUUUUUCUAUAGCAGCAUGUUUUCUUUACACACUGGCUUUCCAUCAAACAAACAUAUUAAGGUCAGACACCUACUAAAUAAAUGUGAACCCUCACAGUUGCGUAGAUGAUAUGGCAAUCCUGAAGACCAAUACCACACAUGUAAUUCUUUCAGCCAUUCUAUAAGAGAGGUCUACCCAAAGUGUCCCAUAUUAGACUAAACCAUUACCACACUACAUGUAAAAAGUUUCCAACCUGAAGAGUACAUAGAAGCAUGAAAAUGAGAUACAGUAUAAGGUACUCUUUGAGCUAUCUAUCAUUAUAUCCCCCUCAACAAAUGAUACCUGAAAGUGUUACAAUUCCUCUGGGUUGGGGAUGAAACCGCAAAUACUUGUUGCAGAAGGAAGCUGAUUCAAGAGCCAAAAACAAGACAUUUCCCAAGAAGUAGCCAGCUGUCUGGCCCACAGAGUUACAAGUGGAAGCAUAGCCCACAUUCUCCCGGGACAACAUAGUCAAUGCCCAGCCGUCUACAGCUAUGUCCUGAGUGGCUGCCAGGAACUCAAACAAGAAGAAGGUCACUGUAAGGGCCACCACAUCUGGGGUUUUGCCAUCUUUUUCCCCAAGCAAGGAGUCCACCUGCACAGAAAGGUACAUCAUAAAAAGCCCUAAGAUGUACUGAGUGGGCACAAGCCAUGACUUGCGGCGGCCAAAGCUCCUGAAGUACACAGCAUCCACCAAGGGGGCCCAAAGCAGCUUUAAACUGAAAGGCCAGAAGACAAAGCUGAAGAAAGCCUGGUCUGUGUAGCUAACAUUUUUGCUUUGCAAGAUGAGCGGAAUGCUGCCCGCAAGCCCCAGAGGAAUACCCUGCAGCACGUAGAGGAAGAGGAGCAGUAAGAUACUGCCGAGCUCUGCUCGAUAGCCUCGGGGAGUCCCAAGUGGUCUAACAUCUGGCUCUUGAAAAAGUGCCACUCUGUCACCUGCUCCAACCGUCUCAGCGUGGCCAUCUCCAUAAAAGUCCAGAGGUGGAGACUCACUUUUCAUCACAUCCAGCGAGUUCUGGUAGCUGCCAGGCCGGCGUUGCCGACUGCUGUCUUUGCAGGAGAUCGUUGGGGACAUGUCACACACGCAGUCCAACGCCGCCGUCCUGGGAAAAGGGAGGGGAUCCGUUCCCCACCAGCAAAUCCUUUAUAGCAGCCAAGUCGCUCCCAACAGCGCGGGGUAGUUCUGGAACAGCGGGAGGGUUGUCAGUUCGGCCCACUCUUCGCUCCUCUGUUUCCAGCCUAAGCGACUCCUCAGUGGCGAGUAUGCUAAGCCGGCUCGAAGUCAGAGGUUUCCUCACACCCCCUAAAAGGACAGAGAAAACGAGAAGAGGAGAGAGGUGCAAAUUCUCCACUUGUGGGCCACUCUUGCCUGUGCGAAGCGACGGGCCUCCUUCCGGAUCUUCACUGGGAAAGAAAGCAGCGCUCCAAAGACGGGGUCGCUUCUUCCUCGUUGCAGCCACCGACACAAAACCUCCGUCGUCCCGGCCGGGUCUCGAAAUCAAUCAGAAAUAUACUCCCCCACCCCAGGCCACGACCCGGCACAGUCCAACCCGUAAAAGCUUCCUGAAUGAAAACACAACCCGUCCCCGAAAGGUACCGCCAAAACAGCAAAAGGUCCUGGCAGCCGUGGGUCUAUCCUAUUGGCCGAACGGGAGUUACAUCUCUUAGAAGCUAUCCUAUCAGAGAUAAACAGAGAACGAGAGGGCGGAAAAGGAGGAUAAAGGAAGAAUAGAACGGCUCUUAUUGGGCAAGGGAUGACUGACUCAAUGAAACGAGUUACACUUCCUGUUCUCGACUGAGUUUAUUGGGGUUGUAGUUAGGUGCCCUCAAGUCGAUUAUGACUUAUGGCGACCCUAUGAAUCAGCGAUCUCCAGUAGCAUCUGUUAUAAACCAUCCUGUUCAGAUCUUAUAAGUUCAGGUCUGUGGCUUCCUUUAUGGAAUCAAUCCAUCUCUUGUUUGGUCUUCCUCUUUUUCUACUCCCUUCUGUUUUUCCCAGCAUUAUGGUCUUUUCUAAUGAAUCAUGCCUCCUCAUUAUGUGACCAAAGUAUAAUAACCUCAGUUUCAUCAUUUUAGCUUCUAGUGAUAGUUCUGAUUUAAUUCGUUCUAACACCCAAUUAUUUGCCGGUCCAUGGUAUCUGCAAAGCUCUCCUCCAACGCCACAUUUCAAACAAGUUGAUUUUUCUCUUAUCUGCUUUUUUUCACUAUCCAGCUUUCGUAUCCAUAGAGAUUGGGAAUACCAUGGUCUGAAUGAUCCUGACUUCGGUGUUCAGUGAUACAUCUUUGCAUUUGAGGACCAUUUCUAGUUCUCUCAUAGCUGCCCUCCCCAGUCCUAGCCUUCCUCUAGUUUCUUGACUAUUGUCUCCAUUUUGGUUAAUGACUGUGCCAAGGUAUUGAUAAUCCUUGACAAGUUCAAUGUCCUCAUUGUCAAACUGUAAAGUUACAUAAAUCCUCUGUUGUCAUUACUUUAGUCUUUUUGACGUUCAGCUGU
Molecule: long non-coding RNA, 3717 nt
Organism: Rhineura floridana
Lineage: Eukaryota; Metazoa; Chordata; Lepidosauria; Squamata; Rhineuridae
Exons: 4
Source: RefSeq, a predicted model, not a curated record